This 440-nucleotide ribosomal RNA is filed under the name uncultured bacterium. Its description in RNAcentral is "partial 16S ribosomal RNA". It matches the Rfam family "Bacterial small subunit ribosomal RNA", at positions 338 to 795 of the family's 1533-position model. The record is from RNAcentral.
CCUACGGGAGGCAGCAGUGGGGAAUAUUGCACAAUGGGGGAAACCCUGAUGCAGCGACGCCGCGUGAGUGAAGAAGGAUUUCGGGAUGUAAAGCUCUAUCAGCAGGGAAGAAAAUGACGGUACAUGAGUAAGAAGACCCGGCUAACGUCGUGCCAGAAUCCGCGGUAAUACGUAGGGGGCAAGCGCUAUGCGGAGUUACUGGGGGUAUAGGGCGCGUAGACGGGGUGGCAAGUCAGAGGUGAAAGCCCGGGGCUCAACUCCGGGACUGCGUUUGAAACUGUGUACCUGGAGUGCAGGAGCGGCAGGCGGAAUUCCUGGUGUAGCGGUGAAAUGCGUAGAUAUCAGGAGGAACACCAGUGGCGAAGGCGGCUUGCUGGACUGUAACUGACGUUGAGGCUCGAAAGCGUGGGGAGCAAACAGGAUUAGAUACCCGAGUAGUC